UGCUGAGGGGUCACACGCUCCCACGAACUCCAGCUGGGGCCGGUUGGAGGUGGAGCAGGCCCGGGACUGCCUGGCGUGUAAUAAUAAGGCCACAUGAUGUCCCAGGAUUCCGCAGUGGAUACGUCGGCGCCGCCCUGGCCGCCAUGGCUGCCCCACGGACCAAGCUCGAAGCCCGGAGGCGGCAUGGUAUCAUCAAGCUCUUCUUCUUCGCUGUUCGUUGUGGCGAGACGGCGCUCCUCGAGGCUUAGGUCGUCAUGGCCUACAAGCAGCUGGGCGUCGUCGUCGUCAUCAUCGUCCAUGGUGGAGAAAUCUUGCUGCGGAGGAUGAUUAUUGGCCAUGCACGGGUUAGUUCGCUUCUGGCAAGUCAAUCGAUUGCAAGUACGUGUGUUUGUUCGACAUCGAUCUGGUGCGUGCUUAAUAUAUCGCCGUCCGGCUAGGGUUGUUGGGCAGUAAACCAGAUCGAGAUCGGACUCGUUAAUUAACCGGGAAAGAUUGGGAAUCAGAAGGAUGACAAGGAAAAGGGGCGGCGUGAUCGGAUUAGCCGAGUCGGGCCCGGCCUCUAUGGGCCAUUUAGCUCAACAUGGUGCGCUAAUUGCAAGCACCAAGCAGGC
This 611-nucleotide long non-coding RNA is filed under the name Brachypodium distachyon (stiff brome). Its description in RNAcentral is "long non-coding RNA (BDIS_LNC005344)". Lineage: Eukaryota; Viridiplantae; Streptophyta; Magnoliopsida; Poales; Poaceae. The record is from RNAcentral.